RNA transcript from Colius striatus (speckled mousebird), 3937 nucleotides. It is a transcript of the gene named mediator complex subunit 17, with no coding region annotated. The transcript is spliced from 13 exons. The record is from RefSeq and is a predicted model, not a curated record. Lineage: Eukaryota; Metazoa; Chordata; Aves; Coliiformes; Coliidae.
CGGGUGCGCGCGCACGCCGGGCCGCCGCGGUCGGAGGUCGCGCCAAGAUGGCGGGAGUGCCGGCGGUGCGCAUCAGCAUCGAGUCGGCGUGCGAGAAGCAGGUGCAGGAGGUGGGGCUGGAUGGCAGCGAGACCUACCUGCAGCCGCUCUCCAUGUCCCAGAACCUGGCGCGCCUGGCGCAGCGCAUCGACUUCAGCCAGGGCUCCGGCUCCGAGGAGGACGAGCCGGGCUCGGCGGGCCGCGCCUGGGCCGAGCCGGGCGAGGCGGAGGAUGAGGAAGGGUUGGUAAAGUUUCAGCCCUCCCUCUGGCCUUGGGAUUCAGUGAGGAACAACUUAAGAAGCGCCUUGACUGAGAUGUGUGUGCUGUAUGAUGUCCUUAGCAUCGUCAAAGAUAAAAAGUUCAUGACUCUAGAUCCAGUUGUACAAGAUCCUCUUCCUCCAAAGCAGAAUCCUCAAUUUCUCCAACUGAUUUCAAAAAAGAAGUCAUUAGCUGGAGCAGCUCAAAUCCUGUUGAAAGGCGCAGAAAGGUUAUCCAAGUCGGUUGCAGAAAACCAGGAAAAUAAGCGGCAGAGAGACUUCAACUCAGAGCUGCUGAGGCUGAGGCAACACUGGAAGCUGAGGAAGGUGGGAGACAAAAUUCUUGGUGACUUGAGCUACAGAAGUGCAGGCUCCCUUUUUCUUCAUCAUGGCACAUUCGAGGUGAUAAAGAACACUGACAUUGACCUGGAUAAAAAGAUACCCGAGGACUACUGUCCUUUGGAUGUUCAAAUUCCAAGUGAUUUAGAAGGAUCAGCCUAUAUCAAGGUUUCUAUUCAGAAACAAGCUCCAGACAUUGGUGACCUUGGGACAGUCAAUCUCUUCAAAAGACCCAUGCCAAAAUCAAAACCAGGUUCUCCACACUGGCAGACAAAGUUGGAGACAGCACAGAAUGUUCUCUUAUGUAAAGAAAUUUUUGCCCAACUAUCACGAGAAGCUGUUCAAAUUAAAUCACAAAUUCCUCACAUUGUUGUGAAAAAUCAGAUCAUCUCUCAGCCUUUCCCAGGUUUGCAGUUGUCUAUUUCCCUCUGUCACUCUUCCAACGACAAAAAAUCACAGAAGUCUGCUUCUGAAAAACAGAAUCCAGAGGAUCAUCUCUAUGUUCUGGAACAUAAUUUGCAUCAGCUUAUCAGAGAGUGUCACAAACAAACCCUGAGCUCAACAGUGAUGCCCCAUCCAGCUAGUGCACCUUUUGGCCAUAAGAGAAUGAGACUUGCAGGACCUCAGGCUUUUGAUAAAAAUGAUAUCAGUUCUUUACAGUCCAAUGAGGGACUUCUGGAAAAGAUAAUAAAGCAGGCAAAGCAUAUCUUUCUGAGACGCAGGACUGCUCGAACCAUUGACAGUCUGGCCAGUCGUAUUGAGGAUCCUCAGAUUCAGGCCCACUGGUCCAAUAUAAAUGAUGUUUAUGAAUCCAGUGUUAAAGUUCUAAUAACAUCUCAAGGAUAUGAACAGAUAUGCAAAUCCAUUCAACUGCAGCUGAACAUUGGAGUUGAGCAGAUCAGAGUUGUGCACAGAGAUGGAAGAGUUAUUACGUUGUCCCAUCAAGAGCAAGAACUACAGGAUUUUCUUUUAUCUCAGAUGUCACAGCACCAAGUACAUGCAGUUCAGCAGCUUGCCAAAGUUAUGGGCUGGCACGUGCUGAGUUUCAGUAACCACGUUGGUCUGGGGCCAGUGGAGAGCAUUGGCAAUGCAUCAGCAAUAACUGUAGCGUCACCAAAUGGGGACUAUGCCAUCUCAGUACGUAACGGGCCGGAAAGCGGCAGCAAAGUCAUGGUUCAGUUUCCACGCAGUCAGUGCAAGGAUCUCCCCAAAGGUGAUGUGCUGCAAGACAACAAGUGGAACCAUCUUCGAGGGCCCUUCAAGGAAGUGCAGUGGAAUAAAAUGGAAGGGCGUAACUUUGUCUACAAGAUGGAACUGCUGAUGGCCGCCCUGACGCCGUGCUGAGGUCUCUCUGCUGUGAGCCACCACUGCCUCUGCAGCAAAGGCAGAUGGAAACCCUGGGGCAGCACAAGGAGGCAAACCCAAAGUGAUAUCCUGUACAGAUCUGUCCACUGUAGUGUUGCUUUAUGGUGUUACCCCUUGUCCUGUCACUGGAUACAACAGAGGAAAAAGUGAUGCCCCAACCUCCUAACAUCCACCAUUUAGAUAUUUCUAAAUAUCAGCGAGAUCCUCCUCAGUCUCCUCUUCUCCAGACUAAACAGCCCCAGUUCCCGCAGCCUUUCCUCAUAAGAAAGAUGCUUCAGUCCCCUGAUCAUCUUGGUGGCCCUGUGCUGGACUCUCUCCAGCAGUUCCCUGUCACUCUUGAACUGGGGAGCCCAGAACUGGCCACAGGACUCCAGAUGAGGCCUCAGCAGAGCAGAGGACACGGGGAGCAGAACCUCCCUUGACCUGCUAGCCAAAAUUUAGGCUCCAAAUGUUAGGCUCAAAAUUGAGACUUCAAGACUUUGUGGCUUGACUGCACUCUUAGGGAGAUACCUGUUAGUUUGGGUGUCGUUGUCUUCUGGAACAGAUGCAGAGAUUUAUUACACAGCCACAUGAAGCAGAUCAAAAUGGCCGACACUCCAGCAAGAAAUGCAAAGAGAACUGCUACAAAAUGUAAAUCUUCAUAGAUAAUCUCUGCAGGGAGGGACAGAAAGGAAGUGAACGUUACAAAAUGGAUUAUGAGCAGAUUAAUGUUUAAACACGGGAUACAGCCAAGAACUCCCAUCUAGUUUGUACCGGAGAUGUUGACUACGAUGGUGCCGUAGGUGUUGGUUCCGUACUCCUCCGUUACAGUGACGAAGUAGUAGCCAGCAUCUCUCAUGCCCACGUUCAGCAGCUGGAUGGAGCCAUUUUCAAAGGUAGUCACUCUGUCCUUGUACACCGUGGAUAUGUUGACAUCAUUCCCACUUCUCCACUCAACAAUUUUGGUGGUGCCCCAGCUCGACACGUGCUUCCACUCAACCGUGGCGACGCCUCUGCAAGAGUAUUCAACCGAGAGGAGGAUGUUUUGUGCCACCGUUGCAUUGAUGUUGGGUUGUGGGACAACUAAUGAUACUCCUCCGGGAGCUGAAAGACAAAGGAGGGUGAUGAGUGUGGAGGUGAUGCAGCACUCACUGUCCAGGGCAGGAUGGGACCUCUGGGGUGUGAUUCAUCCUACCUAUCUCAGUGGUUUGCUUUAAGAGAGGAUAGAUUAUGCUUUGCAGCUUCUCUUCCUUUCUGCUGACCAUAAAAGGAACAGGCAUAUUAAAUACACAUUUUAAUUGGUGAUGGGAGAAAUACUUCCACCACACAGGACAAGUAACUGCGUAUGAAACAGUGUUUUGUUACCCAAGUAGAGGGAGUUUGGAAAAGUCUUUUUGGGCAAGGGAGCAUAACAUUUUUUCUGAAAACUGAGCAGGUUUUGUAUUCAUCAGUAACUGGCUUUCUUUUAAAAUCCAGCAUUUAAAUGCAAAGUGUAAUCAUCAUGGCCAAGGUAACAGUAAUUAACAACCAUCCUCCAAAAGCAAGAACCACAGAAGGCUUAAAUAUGUGAAGAUUUGGCAGGGACUUCAUCAUGUUUUCAGGAUGCAUAAUCAACAUUUGAGACAAUAGCUUCACUAAGGCAGCCAGUGAUGUGCCAGAGCAGAUGAACUCCAUGUGAUCAAAGGUACAGUGUGUCAUGCAAAGUUAGAGACUUCAUGUUCCAGGCAAAAAAUGCAUGUGAAUGAAUAUUUAAUUCUCACCUAGUUCCUACUGAUGUGAUUACAGAGCUGUUCAUAACACCGUGAAACUGAACUGACCAUUUAGUUUAAUGUGUAACUGCAAUCAUUUUUGCGUGUGUGUGUGUGGCUAUUUCUGCAUGAACAUUUGGAUGAGCACCAAACUGCUGAGUUUUAUUGGCAUACAUUCUUUUUAUAAUUAAAAUGGCGUGAUUGAGACAC